RNAcentral lists this ribosomal RNA (497 nucleotides) under uncultured bacterium. RNAcentral's name for it is "partial 16S ribosomal RNA". It matches the Rfam family "Bacterial small subunit ribosomal RNA", at positions 28 to 507 of the family's 1533-position model. The record is from RNAcentral.
GAUGAACGCUGGCGGCGUGCCUAAUACAUGCAAGUCGAGCGAACAGACGAGGAGCCUGCUCCUCUGACGUUAGCGGCGGACGGGUGAGUAACACGUGGAUAACCUACCUAUAAGACUGGGAUAACUUCGGGAAACCGGAGCUAAUACCGGAUAAUAUAUUGAACCGCAUGGUUCAAUAGUGAAAGACGGUUUUGCUGUCACUUAUAGAUGGAUCCGCGCCGCAUUAGCUAGUUGGUAAGGUAACGGCUUACCAAGGCAACGAUGCGUAGCCGACCUGAGAGGGUGAUCGGCCACACUGGAACUGAGACACGGUCCAGACUCCUACGGGAGGCAGCAGUAGGGAAUCUUCCGCAAUGGGCGAAAGCCUGACGGAGCAACGCCGCGUGAGUGAUGAAGGUCUUCGGAUCGUAAAACUCUGUUAUUAGGGGAGAACAAAUGUGUAAGUAACUAUGCACGUCUUGACGGUACCUAAUCAGAAAGCCACGGCUAACUACGUG